RNAcentral lists this ribosomal RNA (241 nucleotides) under uncultured bacterium. RNAcentral's name for it is "partial 16S ribosomal RNA". It matches the Rfam family "Bacterial small subunit ribosomal RNA", at positions 95 to 334 of the family's 1533-position model. The record is from RNAcentral.
CCGGCGCACGGGUGAGUAACACGUAUCCAACCUGCCGUCUACUCUUGGCCAGCCUUCUGAAAGGAAGAUUAAUCCAGGAUGGGAUCAUGAGUUCACAUGUCCACAUGAUUAAAGGUAUUUUCCGGUAGACGAUGGGGAUGCGUUCCAUUAGAUAGUAGGCGGGGUAACGGCCCACCUAGUCAACGAUGGAUAGGGGUUCUGAGAGGAAGGUCCCCCACAUUGGAACUGAGACACGGUCCAA